CCUACGGGAGGCUGCAGUGGGGAAUAUUGGACAAUGGGGGGAACCCUGAUCCAGCCAUGCCGCGUGUGUGAAGAAGGCCCUCGGGUUGUAAAGCACUUUCAGUGAGGAAGAACGCCUGGUGGUUAAUACCCAUCAGGAAAGACAUCACUCACAGAAGAAGCACCGGCUACCUCCGUGCCAGCAGCCGCGGUAAUACGGAGGGUGCGAGCGUUAAUCGGAAUUACUGGGCGUAAAGCGCGCGUAGGUGGCUUGAUAAGCCGGUUGUGAAAGCCCCGGGCUCAACCUGGGAACGGCAUCCGGAACUGUCAAGCUAGAGUGCAGGAGAGGAAGGUAGAAUUCCCGGUGUAGCGGUGAAAUGCGUAGAGAUCGGGAGGAAUACCAGUGGCGAAGGCGGCCUUCUGGACUGACACUGACACUGAGGUGCGAAAGCGUGGGUAGCAAACAGGAUUAGAUACCCCGGUAGUC
RNAcentral lists this ribosomal RNA (465 nucleotides) under Vreelandella stevensii. RNAcentral describes it as "partial 16S ribosomal RNA". It matches the Rfam family "Bacterial small subunit ribosomal RNA", at positions 338 to 795 of the family's 1533-position model. Lineage: Bacteria; Pseudomonadati; Pseudomonadota; Gammaproteobacteria; Oceanospirillales; Halomonadaceae. The record is from RNAcentral.